GAUGAACGCUAGCUACAGGCUUAACACAUGCAAGUCGCGGGGUAACAUUGAUCUAGCUUGCUAGAUCAGAUGACGACCGGCGCACGGGUGAGUAACGCGUAUCCAACCUGCCUUUUACCACGGGAUAGCCCCUCGAAAGAGGGAGUAAUACCGUAUGAGGUCACGAGCAGUCAUCUAAUCGUGACGAAAGGUUUAGCGGGAAAAGAUGGGGAUGCGUCUGAUUAGGCAGUUGGCGGGGGUAACGGCCCACCAAACCGACGAUCAGUAGGGGUUCUGAGAGGAAGGUCCCCCACAUUGGAACUGAGACACGGUCCAAACUCCUACGGGAGGCAGCAGUGAGGAAUAUUGGUCAAUGGUCGCAAGACUGAACCAGCCAAGUAGCGUGAGGGAAGACUGCCCUAUGGGUUGUAAACCUCUUUUAUCUGGGAAUAAAGUGAGCCACGUGUGGCUUAUUGCAGGUACCAGAAGAAUAAGGACCGGCUAAUUCCGUGCCAGCCGCCGCCGUAA
This 507-nucleotide ribosomal RNA is filed under the name uncultured bacterium. RNAcentral's name for it is "partial 16S ribosomal RNA". It matches the Rfam family "Bacterial small subunit ribosomal RNA", at positions 28 to 523 of the family's 1533-position model. The record is from RNAcentral.